UCAGCUUGUUGGUGGGGUAGUGGCCUACCAAGGCGACGACGGGUAGCCGGCCUGAGAGGGUGACCGGCCACACUGGGACUGAGACACGGCCCAGACUCCUACGGGAGGCAGCAGUGGGGAAUAUUGCGCAAUGGGCGGAAGCCUGACGCAGCGACGCCGCGUGGGGGAUGACGGCCUUCGGGUUGUAAACCUCUUUCAGCAGGGACGAAGCGAAAGUGACGGUACCUGCAGAAGAAGCACCGGCCAACUACGUGCCAGCAGCCGCGGUAAUACGUAGGGUGCAAGCGUUGUCCGGAAUUAUUGGGCGUAAAGAGCUCGUAGGCGGUCUGUCGCGUCGGCUGUGAAAUCCCGAGGCUCAACCUCGGGUCUGCAGUCGAUACGGGCAAACUGGAGUACUGCAGGGGAGACUGGAAUUCCUGGUGUAGCGGUGAAAUGCGCAGAUAUCAGGAGGAACACCGGUGGCGAAGGCGGGUCUCUGGGCAGUAACUGACGCUGAGGAGCGAAAGCGUGGGGAGCGAACAGGAUUAGAUACCCUGGUAGUCCACGCCGUAAACGUUGGGCGCUAGGUGUGGGCCACAUUCCACGUGGUCUGUGCCGCAGCUAACGCAUUAAGCGCCCCGCCUGGGGAGUACGG
Molecule: ribosomal RNA, 634 nt
Filed under: uncultured bacterium
Lineage: Bacteria
Description: bacterial SSU rRNA
Rfam family: Bacterial small subunit ribosomal RNA
Source: RNAcentral